Molecule: small nucleolar RNA, 142 nt
Filed under: Salvator merianae (Argentine black and white tegu)
Lineage: Eukaryota; Metazoa; Chordata; Lepidosauria; Squamata; Teiidae
Description: Small nucleolar RNA SNORA14 (ENSSMRG00000021987.1)
Rfam family: Small nucleolar RNA SNORA14
About the family: ACA14 is a member of the H/ACA class of snoRNA that guide the sites of modification of uridines to pseudouridines.
Source: Rfam by way of RNAcentral
GUGCAUUCUUUAACCCUCCUGGUACUGUUGCUGUUAUAACUUCCAGGAUAAGGAUGAAUGCAAGAGAAAAAUGUAGAGUUAUCCAAAAUGCAGAAUGAUCUUUUAUAGUUCUGCAUUAUUUCAGCUCUUCAACAAGAAAUGU